Long non-coding RNA from Salvia miltiorrhiza (redroot sage), 1531 nucleotides. RefSeq lists it as uncharacterized. The transcript is spliced from 2 exons. Lineage: Eukaryota; Viridiplantae; Streptophyta; Magnoliopsida; Lamiales; Lamiaceae. The record is from RefSeq and is a predicted model, not a curated record.
UAGCAAAUCUUAUUUUUUUCAAAAGUGUAGAUUUGCAGCUGACUUUCCUUCCAACUCCCUACACAAAUUUCAACCUUCAUAAUUUCCAUUGUCUACGGAAUCCACUUAUAAAUACAUAGCAUAUCAGUUAACACACAGCUCACUCCACUAGCAAGAACCACACCCGUGCAGAGAAAGUGAAGCCAACAAGCUUCAAAACAAACUUUGCAUACUUCUUAAGCUCAAGUGAGCUCCCUUCGCCAGGCUAUUUCUUCGCCGACCGGCCACUAGGCUCUGAACCGAGAACGUGUACUCGUUCCUCCAUCUUCAGGCUACCAAACCCAACAAUCGAAAGGCCAAAGCCUUCUCUAUAUUUUCCUGGCCAAAAGCCGCAAUAUCCUUCGGAGGCCAACGUCGAAUUCCCGACUUAGCCACCGGCCAACUUACGGCUUUCGUUUCUCACUAUCCUUACGACGAAAAAGGAUUGAGAAAACACCGUUGUGUAGCCUGAUCUACCUCGCACGAGGAAGACUAAGUCGUAGACCUUCGCGGCUAAACACCAUCGCGGAACGACGACCAGAAAACCCCCGACGAACAACUUCCAUUAGUGCUCACUUGGACAAGGGUUCAAAUAAACAAAAGCGUCUGAGUAACCUAUCGCGCUAAGGAAAGAGAAUCAUUGUCUUAAGUAGCAAAACACUGCAAUCAGGUGGGCAUUACUUUUACUAUACGUAUAUAGAGAUCCCCUGCGUGUCGUAGGCCUCUUAUACGAAUGAAUGCAUGAGAUGAUUUAACUGUUAAUUUCAGUUUCAUAUAUAUAUCAAAUGAGUUUAAAUGUUACGUUCAAGCAAGUUAUUUCAUGACAAAAUCUUUGAGUUAAAGUUAUUUCAAGUAUUGUCUUGCCAUAAAAUGUUUAAAUUUUAGUAUGAUAUCUAUCUGCUUUGGCUUUGCCAAUGAUGCAAUCGAAUUCGGGUCCUGAGCAGUUGAUAGCUAUCCUGCCUUGACUAGUGUACACCAGUGACCGUGAGUCAUCUAGCGGGUUGGCCGGUCAAGUGACCGUGAGAGGUGGCCACCUCUCCGGCACACAGUUCCAGAUAUGAUAGAUUACAAGAGAACUUAGACUGCAGACGAACUUUAAGAAUCACAAAUGAACUUAGUAAGCUUGGGCCUUUUUAGCGAAAAACUCCCUUGCUGUACUGUUUAUGAUGGCAUGACAAUUUACAGUUUUUGAAGCAUGUAUUUUUAUACCUAGGCAUACGUGCCCACUGAGUGCUUUUGUACUCAGCCCUGCAUAUGUUUUCUAAAUGUGCAAGUUGAGCUGAUGUGAUGAUGGUGCUGCAAUGAGCGGAGUCUCCAGGGUUGUUAAUAAAUAGUUAACCUGUCUAGAAUAUGUCUUCAUACAUAUGUCUAGCUACUUUCCGCUGCAAGAUGUUGUUGAUGUUAUAGUAUGUUAUGUCAUACUUUGAGUCUUAAGAGAAUGGUUUCAUAUGAUGUAUAACUUGAUUAAUGAUAUUAAUUAAGUUUUAUGCUGUCUUUCAUAGACUAUUUUCAA